This 311-nucleotide unclassified non-coding RNA is filed under the name Zea mays. RNAcentral's name for it is "misc RNA Zm00001eb202780". The record is from RNAcentral. Lineage: Eukaryota; Viridiplantae; Streptophyta; Magnoliopsida; Poales; Poaceae.
GCCCCAGGAAGUGGUGCCCGUUGCUGCAGCUGCACCCGGCCGCUCCCUUCUGUCCGCCCAGGCCGCAGCCGAGGCAGAGGCCGUGGCCGUGGCCGUGGCCGGCCUGCAGCGCCUCCCGCUUGACGACGGCGGGCUUGAUGAGGUCCAGCUCCUCCUCCUCCUCCUCGCCGUCGUCCUCAUGCUGGCACGGCGGGCUGAUGCAGAGGUCCAGGUUGAGGUCGGGGCACCUGGGCGCCUUGACGGCCGCCGUCUCCUCGGCCUUGAUCGGCGCCUGCGCUGCUGUUUCUGCGGCGGCGGCGACGGCGGUGUUG